RNAcentral lists this ribosomal RNA (254 nucleotides) under uncultured bacterium. RNAcentral describes it as "partial 16S ribosomal RNA". It matches the Rfam family "Bacterial small subunit ribosomal RNA", at positions 524 to 776 of the family's 1533-position model. The record is from RNAcentral.
UACAGAGGGUGCGAGCGUUGUUCGGAAUUACUGGGCGUAAAGCGCGCGCAGGCGGCUCUUUAAGUCUGACGGUGAAAUGCCGGGGCUCAACCCCGUGCCCGCCGCGGAUACUGGAGGGCUGGAGACACGUAGAGGCAAGCGGAAUUCCGGGUGUAGCGGUGGAAUGCGUAGAGAUCCGGAAGAACACCGGAGGCGAAGGCGGCUUGCUGGGCCGACACUGACGCUGAGGCGCGAAAGCUAGGGGAGCAAACGGG